CCUACGGGGGGCAGCAGUAGGGAAUAUUGCUCAAUGGGGGAAACCCUGAAGCAGCAACGCCGCGUGGAGGAUGAAGGUUUUCGGAUUGUAAACUCCUUUUGUUAGAGAAGAUAAUGACGGUAUCUAACGAAUAAGCACCGGCUAACUCCGUGCCAGCAGCCGCGGUAAUACGGAGGGUGCAAGCGUUACUCGGAAUCACUGGGCGGAAAGAGCGCGUAGGCGGGAUAGCAAGUCAGAUGUGAAAUCCUAUGGCUUAACCAUAGAACUGCAGUUGAAACUGUUAUUCUAGAGUAUGGGAGAGGUAGGUGGAAUUCUUGGUGUAGGGGUAAAAUCCGUAGAGAUCAAGAGGAAUACUCAUUGCGAAGGCGACCUGCUAGAACAUAACUGACGCUGAUGCGCGAAAGCGUGGGGAGCAAACAGGAUUAGAUACCCUAGUAGUC
Molecule: ribosomal RNA, 440 nt
Filed under: uncultured bacterium
Lineage: Bacteria
Description: partial 16S ribosomal RNA
Rfam family: Bacterial small subunit ribosomal RNA
Source: RNAcentral